CGUCACAAAAGCCUCCAACUCCGUCGUCUCCUCCGACUCCUAAGAUGGCUCCGCCACUACCUAAACCCUCACCUCCACGUCCAUCUCCGAAGAAGUCUCCUCCACCUCCUAAACCCUCAUCUCCGCCUCCUAAACCCUCAUCUCCGCCUCCAACUCCAAAAAAGUCUCCUCCGCCUCCUAAACCAUCGCCUCCGCCUCCAACUCCAAAAAAGUCUCCUCCGCCUCCUAAACCAUCGCCUCCACCGACUCCUAAAAUGUCUCCGCCAUCACCUACACCAUCACCUCCACGUCCAA
RNAcentral lists this long non-coding RNA (294 nucleotides) under Brassica napus (rape). RNAcentral describes it as "long non-coding RNA (BNAP_LNC006605)". Lineage: Eukaryota; Viridiplantae; Streptophyta; Magnoliopsida; Brassicales; Brassicaceae. The record is from RNAcentral.